Long non-coding RNA from Cyprinus carpio carpio, 1016 nucleotides. NCBI's taxonomy places the organism in Eukaryota, Metazoa, Chordata, Actinopteri, Cypriniformes, Cyprinidae. The record is from Ensembl.
CCUGCGCGCUUCUAACCUGAGGCACAAGGGUGUAUGUGCUUACACCUCGUGUGUGUAAUAUAUUUCUAUAAAAGAUGUGUUUUGUCAGGUAACCAAAAUGUACUAAACGUGGUGACAUCUAAAAUAAAUUAAGGUUUUUGAGGAAAACAUUCCAGGAUUUUUCUCCAUAAGACAUGAACACUUUGGAUGACAUGGGGAGUUCUGUAAUACUGGACGGAAGCAUGUGUAAUUACUCUGCAUUGAUCUAAGCCCUUUCACCCAUGGACACUCGGGUCUGUUGAAAAUAUCCUCAGGGUAUUUUUCUUCAUUCCCACUACAAAGUAGCAUAAAGACUUGAAUUCAGAUAGCUCGGCAAGUGGUAUAUUCAAAGAAAAUGUGGGAAGCUGCCGGAAGAGUGUCUGAACUGUGCUCUAUACUUCAGUCUUCACAAGCUGUUAAAAUACAGAAAACAAGGAUAUGAAAUUUGCAGGCGUAACACAUAAAGCAAUUGUUUCUGCUGUGUUUGCAACAGUGCUGUGCCUUUUAACUCACCACAAGCAUCGGUUGGAGAUUUUUUCACACUGUAAUGUAUUAAUUAAGCAUUUUAUCGCAUAAACACCAAGGGUUGGCUGCACUACCUAUGUUUUUUUCAGUAUAAUCAUCAAUUGUUUUUAAGCACAACUCCUAGAGACUGAGGAAAUGCAUUGGAUAAUAGGCAUGAUUAGACUCAGUGUUCUCAAGCCGAAUCACACCGGUACAUGGAUCUCCAUCACUGCAGGAGAUCAGUUUAAUGAGAAGACUGCUAUCUGUAGAGGACUUAAACACAAGAGCAGAAACAUGUGCUCUGAUCCCGUUUACACUAAUCAAAAAAGAAAGACAGUUUUUUUUGUUUUUUUUUUCCAAAGAGAAUUUUAUAUCUCGCCAUGCAAAGGCUGUUUUAAAUGCAUACACAGGAGCUGUUCACUGUACACUGCUUUUCAAUUUGUUUCAUUUGUUUUUGUGCUUUUCUAUUGUUUUCUAUGUAAACAUGCACUAGA